This 2160-nucleotide long non-coding RNA is filed under the name Canis lupus familiaris (dog). RNAcentral describes it as "lncRNA (ENSCAFG00030025838.1)". Lineage: Eukaryota; Metazoa; Chordata; Mammalia; Carnivora; Canidae. The record is from RNAcentral.
AUGCUCUCCUUUCUCAUGGAAAUAAGCCAUCCCUUCCUAACAGAUUGGUCCAAGGCCAGAGACUCUGCAGUUCUUGACACCAACUUAACAAAAUCACCCAGGGAGACCAGGGCAGAGAACAAAGUCGGGAAGCCUGCCUCACCGGAGCCCCCACAACGUCAAGAAGAACAGCAGCUGGCAUUGGCCGGGUCUACCCCACAGGCUGCCACCCUACCUGCCUCUGCUUCUUUGGUGCCCGGACACCCUGACAAGGUCCCUACUGGCAGUGUCCACAACCUACAGGUGAGGAAGCAGGUGUGGUGGUUAAGAACCUGGCUCUAGAGCAGUGGUUCCCAACCCGGAGUGAUUUUUGCCCCCGAGAUAGGGUUGGCAGCUACCAGAUAAAUCCACAGCACACCCAGUUAAAUUUGAACAAGUAACUUUUUCAUAUAAGUAUGUCCUAAAUAUCAAAUGGACAUACUCACACUAAAAAUAAUUCAUUGUUUGCCUAAAAUCCAAACAUAACGGGACCUGUAUUUGAUCAGGCAAUCCUACCCCCAGCAGGUACGUGGUAAUGUCUGGAGACACUUUGGAUUGUCACUACAAGGGACCCCGCUACCGGCAUCUAGAAGGAUGGCCCCCCAGCACGGAGAGUUACCUGGCCCCAGAUGUCAAUAGUGAGAACUGAGAAAUCUUGACCGAGAGCCACAUGCCGGGGGCGGGGGAAUUGAAGUUCUGGAUCUUCCCUGUGGGCCAAGAAGAGGCCGGGGUGGUGGCAGUGGAGACCGAGGCCAGAUCAAGCCUCACUUGGGAAGCUCGCAAACGAGAAGCAGAGAGCCAACCACCCCCGGAAAGAACAGGCCCAUCGUCGUGUGCCUUGGACACGUGUGUCAGACGGUCGCAUUUGUGGGGAGAGGGUGUAAAAUGAUACACGGGGGUCUAAAGAUAAAUAAAUAACUAGAGAAGCCCGAAUUAGCCGUCUGAUGGUUUUAGCAUGGAGAGUGGGUACAGCUUGCUCCAAGCAUCCUGGUUUCCUUGGAUACGUUGGCCGAGCAUUAGCUGUCUCAGGCCAAAAAUAAAAGAUUUUCGAGAAAGAAGCCACAGGACGUUGCCGCCGCUGCUACAGCGUUCGCCUGGGCCCCAGGGAGGGACAAGUGCUGGGUUUCCUCCUAUUGCCACAAAACGCAGUGGGUCUGAGUUCAAAUUUUGACCCGCACCGUCACCCGGCAGGCAUUCUAAGGACCUUAUUUAACUUGCCCAAACCCCAGAGAGGUUGCCACCUCUGCUCACCAAAAGGGAAGAUGCCCCCGCCUCGUGGGGCGGUACGAGGUGCUGGGCACUCGACAGGUGCCGAGCGGGGUCCGACCCCCGGGAGCGCCUUCCUACGCUGCUUGAGGGGCCGGGCACGGCCUGCCGGGGUGUGGCGCGUGGAAACAUGCUCCUAGGCCCGGCUUGGUUGCUGCCGGCCAGCCAAGGAGGCGCCCCCCCCGCACCCCAUCCUCCCAAGCCCACCCGGCUGCAGCUGAGGCACACAGGCCGCUAGACAGGCUGCAGCCUCACCUGCCCGCUUCACACAUUUCUGCCUCCUCCUGGAGGCCCCCCGAGCCUGAGUCUGUAAGCUGGGGCUCAGUCUCUCCCCGGGACCGGUGGGGGGUGCAGGGGGGUGUUGGUGCUGGUCUCACCAGUGCUCCAAUGCUCUGCACACACUCUGGGCUAUUAGGAUAGCAAAAAGGAGGAGUCACAAUUAACAGCCAGCACCUAAGGUAGUGCUCCCAGCCCUGGCCGCCCGUCGGAACCUUCUGGGGGCUCUCACACACACCCAUGUCUGGGCAGCAUCGGGGACCAGUCAGAACCUGAGGCUGGACCCUGAGCAUGUGAUUUUUAAAGCUCCCCAGGUGACUCCAGGGUGCAGUCAGGAUUAAGACCCAUUGUCUAGCCCGGGGGUCAGCCGAUUUUUUCUUAAAGGGUGAGAGAAGAAAUAUUUUGGGUUGGUUGGGCCAUAAGGUCUCUCGCAACUAUUCACCUCUGCUGGAGCAGGAAAGUCACCACAGACGGUAAGUGAAUGAUGAGUUUGUCUGUGUUCCAAUAAAACUUUAUUUGUGGACACAGAACUUGAAUUUCACAUAGUUUUCAUGUGCCAAAGGAUAUUAUUCCUUUUGACAUUUUUCCGACCACUUAAAA